Molecule: unclassified non-coding RNA, 247 nt
Filed under: Hevea brasiliensis (rubber tree)
Lineage: Eukaryota; Viridiplantae; Streptophyta; Magnoliopsida; Malpighiales; Euphorbiaceae
Source: RNAcentral
GAUUUUGUGUUUAUGAAGAGUUUCAAUGCUAGGGGUGUAUUUAAAGAGUCGUUAGGACUCCUUGUUUCGCGCCCCAGGAGUCGUGUCUGCGACAUGAUACAUGGGUCGUGUAUCACUAUAUAGGUCCCGACAUGUAGAGCCGUGUAAAUUUAUGUCCGAAAAUUUCAAAUUCUGUCGUAGUACACUGCCCGUAUAAAUGAGCUCUAGGCACAUGUAACUUUCUGUCUCUCCCAGGUUUAAAAAUGCA